Molecule: long non-coding RNA, 968 nt
Organism: Meleagris gallopavo (turkey)
Lineage: Eukaryota; Metazoa; Chordata; Aves; Galliformes; Phasianidae
Source: RefSeq, a predicted model, not a curated record
GGCUGCAACGCGGCCCAAACACUUGGGGCGUGCAGCGUGUUGCCGCCAGAGCCGCCUCCUCCAAUCCCCGUGCCGCUCCUGCUGAGCGCGGGCCCCUGCAGCCCAGCGCUGCCCCCGACCAGCUGCGGCGCGUGCUGAGCUCUGGGGAUCGCAAGCCCCUGUGCUCGUGCGUGUCUGUAAACUCAUGCGUACAUGAAGCUCGGUGUUCUGUACAUACGCACAAAUGCUGUGGAUCCGGUCUCUUUGUUGAUGAGCGCUGACGUCGCUAAAGACGACCCAGCCCUCCCUGGCUCGGAAUUCUUAACUACAGCAACCUGUCAAACUUUUAUUUCUCGCUUUCUGCAAAACCUCUGGUGCUCCAUCAGCAGUGCUGCCCACCCUUCUCCAGGUCACCUGGGACCCGCACUUGGUGCACGGUCAUUGUGACAGGCAGGAACACAGGGAGACUCACAUGGCCCUAACGUUGCACUUCUGUCUUUACGAGCUGAUGGAUUAAGCAGCAAUGAUCUAGAUAACAGCUAUUUAGCUGCCAUUUGAUCACCUGAAAUAGAUUCAGCCUGACCCUGAAUCCCAAAGAAAUGAUGCUGAGAUGUGCUGUUCAUGGGUGACCACCAGGAAGUGCAUCAUUGGAAAAACUGAGGAGGUGAUAAACUUCUGGAAAAUGUUGCCAAUGGGCAGCCUGCAUUUGCAUGUGCCACGCCGGGAGGGCUGAGACUUGCAGCAAGGAGCUCUGUAGCAGGCUGUUCCUGAUUGGCUGCGUCACGUGCAGGCAGAACAUUAGGGGUGUAUGAAAAGAGCAUAAAAAAUGGAUGUUUUCUCUUUGCAGAAGUCAGCUAUACCAGUAUUAGCUUUUAUUUGGAUUCAGGGUGAACCUGAGAAUCAAAGGAAAAAUCCCUUGGUCAUUUCAGAUCUAUCUGCAGACAAAGAGCUGGGAUUUCCCGGCUGUCUGGGGUUGGUUUUUCUCCAGG